Pipra filicauda (Wire-tailed manakin) is the source of this 136-nucleotide long non-coding RNA. RefSeq lists it as uncharacterized. NCBI's taxonomy places the organism in Eukaryota, Metazoa, Chordata, Aves, Passeriformes, Pipridae. The transcript is spliced from 3 exons. The record is from RefSeq and is a predicted model, not a curated record.
CCUGUCCGGGAUGCCUCUGGGAAGCAGCACAGCAAUAAGUGCAUCAUGUGUGCAGAGAAGUUCAAAAGGGAGAAUGAGCGGAAGUUAUCUAAAAACAGACAAGGAAAAGAUAAGGAUGACUGCAGUGAGUUUCGCU